Molecule: ribosomal RNA, 497 nt
Filed under: uncultured bacterium
Lineage: Bacteria
Description: partial 16S ribosomal RNA
Rfam family: Bacterial small subunit ribosomal RNA
Source: RNAcentral
GAUGAACGCUGGCGGCGUGACUAAUACAUGCAAGUCGAGCGAGCGGACGAGAAGCUUGCUUCUCUGAUGUUAGCGGCGGACGGGUGAGUAACACGUGGAUAACCUACCUAUAAGACUGGGAUAACUUCGGGAAACCGGAGCUAAUACCGGAUAAUAUUUUGAACCGCAUGGUUCAAAAGUGAAAGACGGUCUUGCUGUCACUUAUAGAUGGAUCCGCGCUGCAUUAGCUAGUUGGUAAGGUAACGGCUUACCAAGGCAACGAUGCAUAGCCGACCUGAGAGGGUGAUCGGCCACACUGGAACUGAGACACGGUCCAGACUCCUACGGGAGGCAGCAGUAGGGAAUCUUCCGCAAUGGGCGAAAGCCUGACGGAGCAACGCCGCGUGAGUGAUGAAGGUCUUCGGAUCGUAAAACUCUGUUAUUAGGGAAGAACAUAUGUGUAAGUAACUGUGCACAUCUUGACGGUACCUAAUCAGAAAGCCACGGCUAACUACGUG